ACGAUCGGUAGCCGGACUGAGAGGUUGAACGGCCACAUUGGGACUGAGACACGGCCCAGACUCCUACGGGAGGCAGCAGUGGGGAAUAUUGCACAAUGGGGGAAACCCUGAUGCAGCGACGCCGCGUGGAGGAAGAAGGUCUUCGGAUUGUAAACUCCUGUUGUUGAGGAAGAUAAUGACGGUACUCAACAAGGAAGUGACGGCUAACUACGUGCCAGCAGCCGCGGUAAAACGUAGGUCACAAGCGUUGUCCGGAAUUACUGGGUGUAAAGGGAGCGCAGGCGGGAAGACAAGUUGGAAGUGAAAUCUAUGGGCUCAACCCAUAAACUGCUUUCAAAACUGUUUUUCUUGAGUAGUGCAGAGGUAGGCGGAAUUCCCGGUGUAGCGGUGGAAUGCGUAGAUAUCGGGAGGAACACCAGUGGCGAAGGCGGCCUACUGGGCACCAACUGACGCUGAGGCUCGAAAGUGUGGGUAGCAAACAGGAUUAGAUACCCUGGUAGUCCACACCGUAAACGAUGAUUACUAGGUGUUGGAGGAUUGACCCCUUCAGUGCCGCAGUUAACACAAUAAGUAAUCCACCUGGGGAGUACGACCGCAAGGUUGAAACUCAAAGGAAUUGACGGGGGCCCGCACAAGCAGUGGAGUAUGUGGUUUAAUUCGAC
This 662-nucleotide ribosomal RNA is filed under the name Faecalibacterium prausnitzii. RNAcentral's name for it is "bacterial SSU rRNA". It matches the Rfam family "Bacterial small subunit ribosomal RNA", at positions 276 to 955 of the family's 1533-position model. The record is from RNAcentral. Lineage: Bacteria; Bacillati; Bacillota; Clostridia; Eubacteriales; Oscillospiraceae.